Molecule: ribosomal RNA, 429 nt
Filed under: Actinomycetes bacterium
Lineage: Bacteria; Bacillati; Actinomycetota; Actinomycetes
Description: Actinobacteria bacterium partial 16S ribosomal RNA
Rfam family: Bacterial small subunit ribosomal RNA
Source: RNAcentral
UAGGGAAUCUUCCGCAAUGGGCGAAAGCUUGACGGAGCAACGCCGCGUGAGUGAUGAAGGUCUUCGGAUCGUAAAACUCUGUUAUUAGGGAAGAACAAAUGUGUAAGUAACUAUGCACGUCUUGACGGUACCUAAUCAGAAAGCCACGGCUAACUACGUGCCAGCAGCCGCGGUAAUACGUAGGUGGCAAGCGUUAUCCGGAAUUAUUGGGCGUAAAGCGCGCGUAGGCGGUUUUUUAAGUCUGAUGUGAAAGCCCACGGCUCAACCGUGGAGGGUCAUUGGAAACUGGAAAACUUGAGUGCAGAAGAGGAAAGUGGAAUUCCAUGUGUAGCAGUGAAAUGCGCAGAGAUAUGGAGGAACACCAGUGGCGAAGGCGACUUUCUGGUCUGUAACUGACGCUGAUGUGCGAAAGCGGGGGGAUCAAACAGG